AUGCCGCUCUCCAGCCUGCUCUGGGUGUUCCUGGCCUUCAUCUUCUCUGGAUCCUGUGUGGCCCAGAAAGUUAUUCAAGUCCAACCAGACACAUCCAGCCAAGUCGGGGAGGCAGUCACCCUGAACUGUCGGUAUGAAAUAAGUUGGAACACAGACAACUACUACAUUUAUUGGUAUAAGCAGCUUCCCAGCGGUGAGAUGACUUUCCUUAUUCAACAGUUUUCUUCUGGCCAGAAUGCAAGGAAUGGUCGCUACUCUGUAAACUUCCAGAAAGCAGAUAAAUCCAUCAGCCUCACAAUUUCAGCCUUACAACUGGAAGAUUCUGCAAAGUACUUCUGUGCUCUCUGGGACCUCACAGUGCUUGAAGUAAUAGGAAAAGCUGAACAAAAACCCCAGAGCUCAAUAUGA
Non-coding RNA from Hippopotamus amphibius kiboko, 408 nucleotides. NCBI's taxonomy places the organism in Eukaryota, Metazoa, Chordata, Mammalia, Artiodactyla, Hippopotamidae. The record is from the annotation of a RefSeq genome assembly.